AAACUUGGUGCCUGGGCUCAUAUAUUUAUGCAAUAGGGAAAUCACAUGGUUGCUUAUAUUUCCUGUUUUCUGUGAUGAGACUGUUGAUGUGAAGAUAUAUCAAUUCAAGCACACAUAGCUUUAACCUUCAUAAUUUCUUCACCAGUUAUAACAGUUUUCAUUUUUGAGAUACCACAUGUCUUUUAAACAACAUAACUUCCUUUUACCCAAUUAUUGGUUUACACAACUAAUUUUUGCAUUUGCUUCUAUUACUAAACUUAAAUUUCACACUCAGCCUUGUGUUAACUACCUUGAGGUAUUAUGGUUUAUUUCUCGCAUUAGGUAUUCUUCUGAGUACUGGAAUAAGGUCACUUUUUCAUUAGGAACUUCCUAAGAGGCUUCUUCUUACAUACAAACCUGAAGAAUCGGAGGACAUUCCUGAGCCUGCUUCUGUUGAAGAGGAAAAUGCACCAGUUGAAGAGCCUGUUCUGGUACCACCUGUUACUGAAGUUGUUUCACCUCCCAAGACCGAGGUGGCCGAUACUGGUGACUUACUGGGCUUAAAUGAUCCAAAUCCUGCUGUAUCAGCUAUGGAGGAAAGCAAUGCUCUUGCCUUGGCUAUUGUUCCAACAUAUGGGGCUUCCACAACUGGUAACACUGCAUUUCAAGAUAAGGGGUUUGAUCCUACAUGAUGGGAACUCGCCCUUGUUACCGCACCGAGCAACACGACUUCAUCUGCGUCUGUCGGUCAAUUGGUUUGUUUCUUUAACCAUCGUAUCAUUUUUUCUGAUGUAUUUAUGUUUCCAUUGCAUGUU
Long non-coding RNA from Zea mays, 794 nucleotides. RefSeq lists it as uncharacterized. NCBI's taxonomy places the organism in Eukaryota, Viridiplantae, Streptophyta, Magnoliopsida, Poales, Poaceae. The record is from RefSeq and is a predicted model, not a curated record. The transcript has 3 exons.